ACGGGACUCUUCGGAGUUCAGUGGCGGACGGGUGAGUAACGCGUGAGAAUCUGCCUAGAGGAUGGGGACAACCACGGGAAACUGUGGCUAAUACCCAAUGAGCGGAGACGUUAAAGAUUUAUCGCCUCUAGAGGAGCUCGCGUCUGAUUAGCUAGUUGGUGGGGUAAAAGCCUACCAAGGCGACGAUCAGUAGCUGGUCUGAGAGGACAACCAGCCACACUGGGACUGAGACACGGCCCAGACUCCUACGGGAGGCAGCAGUGGGGAAUUUUCCGCAAUGGGCGAAAGCCUGACGGAGCAAUACCGCGUGAGGGAGGAAGGCUCUUGGGUCGUAAACCUCUUUUCUCAGGGAAGAAGAAAGUGACGGUACCUGAGGAAUCAGCCUCGGCUAACUCCGUGCCAGCAGCCGCGGUAAUACGGAGGAGGCAAGCGUUAUCCGGAAUUAUUGGGCGUAAAGCGUCCGUAGGUGGCUCUUCAAGUCUGCUGUCAAAGAGUGGGGCUUAACUCCAGAAAGGCAGUGGAAACUGAAAGGCUAGAGAGCCGUAGGGGUAGAGGGAAUUCCCGGUGUAGCGGUGAAAUGCGUAGAGAUCGGGAAGAACAUCGGUGGCGAAAGCGCUCUACUGGACGGUAUCUGACACUGAGGGACGAAAGCUAGGGGAGCGAAUGGGAUUAGAUACCCCAGUAGUCCUAGCCGUAAACGAUGGAUACUAGGCG
Molecule: ribosomal RNA, 714 nt
Filed under: uncultured cyanobacterium
Lineage: Bacteria; Bacillati; Cyanobacteriota
Description: bacterial SSU rRNA
Rfam family: Bacterial small subunit ribosomal RNA
Source: RNAcentral